GAUGAACGCUGGCGGCGUGCCUAAUACAUGCAAGUCGAGCGAACGGACGAGAAGCUUGCUUCUCUGAUGUUAGCGGCGGACGGGUGAGUAACACGUGGAUAACCUACCUAUAAGACUGGGAUAACUUCGGGAAACCGGAGCUAAUACCGGAUAAUAUUUUGAACCGCAUGGUUCAAAAGUGAAAGACGGUCUUGCUGUCACUUAUAGAUGGAUCCGCGCUGCAUUAGCUAGUUGGUAAGGUAACGGCUUACCAAGGCAACGAUGCAUAGCCGACCUGAGAGGGUGAGGGGGCACACGGGAGCUGACGCACGGACCAGCGUCCGACGGGAGGGAGAAGUAGGGAAUGUGUCGCAAUGGGCGAAGGCAUGACGGAGAAAGUCAGCGGGAGAGAGGAAGGUCUUCAGAUCGUAAGACUCUGUUAUUAGGGAAUAACAUAAGUGUAAGUGACUGUGAACAGCGUGACGGCACCUAAUCAGAAAGCCACGCCUAACUACGUC
This 497-nucleotide ribosomal RNA is filed under the name uncultured bacterium. RNAcentral describes it as "partial 16S ribosomal RNA". It matches the Rfam family "Bacterial small subunit ribosomal RNA", at positions 28 to 507 of the family's 1533-position model. The record is from RNAcentral.